This 213-nucleotide unclassified non-coding RNA is filed under the name Hevea brasiliensis (rubber tree). The record is from RNAcentral. Lineage: Eukaryota; Viridiplantae; Streptophyta; Magnoliopsida; Malpighiales; Euphorbiaceae.
UAGAAGAAGAGGAGAGGAGAGAGAAAGGAAAGAAGAAGAAGAGGAAAAGAAGAAAUCAAGAAAUACCUCAUUGUGGUCUCCAGUUUUCUCUAAUGUUGCCCCUGGCGUCGUGAGAGAAAGAACAAGUUAAGGCUUUUAACUAUUUGUUGUUUUAAAAGAAAAAAUUAAAGAAAAAAAUUAAAAGCUUUUGUUAUUUCUCAAAGGCGUCGCCUU